This 481-nucleotide ribosomal RNA is filed under the name uncultured bacterium. RNAcentral's name for it is "partial 16S ribosomal RNA". It matches the Rfam family "Bacterial small subunit ribosomal RNA", at positions 28 to 507 of the family's 1533-position model. The record is from RNAcentral.
GAUGAACGCUGGCGGCGUGCUUAACACAUGCAAGUCGAACGAAGCAUUUGCGACAGAUUUUUUCGGAAUGAAGUUGCUUAUGACUGAGUGGCGGACGGGUGAGUAACGCGUGGGUAACCUGCCUUGUACCGGGGGAUAGCAGCUGGAAACGGCUGGUAAUACCGCAUAAGCGCACAAUGUUGCAUGACAUGGUGUGAAAAACUCCGGUGGUAUAAGAUGGACCCGCGUCUGAUUAGCUAGUUGGUGAGAUAACAGCCCACCAAGGCGACGAUCAGUAGCCGACCUGAGAGGGUGACCGGCCACAUUGGGACUGAGACACGGCCCAGACUCCUACGGGAGGCAGCAGUGGGGAAUAUUGCACAAUGGAGGAAACUCUGAUGCAGCGACGCCGCGUGAGUGAAGAAGUAAUUCGUUAUGUAAAGCUCUAUCAGCAGGGAAGAUAGUGACGGUACCUGACGAAGAAGCUCCGGCUAAAUACGUG